CGUAAUGUAGCUUAACUAAAGCAUCUUGCUUACACCAAGAAACUAUCCGUGAAAAUCAGAUCAUUUCGA
RNAcentral lists this transfer RNA (69 nucleotides) under Rhaebo haematiticus (Truando toad). RNAcentral's name for it is "tRNA-Val". Lineage: Eukaryota; Metazoa; Chordata; Amphibia; Anura; Bufonidae. The record is from RNAcentral.